This 563-nucleotide ribosomal RNA is filed under the name uncultured bacterium. Its description in RNAcentral is "partial 16S ribosomal RNA". It matches the Rfam family "Bacterial small subunit ribosomal RNA", at positions 355 to 909 of the family's 1533-position model. The record is from RNAcentral.
UGGGGAAUUUUGGACAAUGGGCGAAAGCCUGAUCCAGCAAUGCCGCGUGUGUGAAGAAGGCCUUCGGGUUGUAAAGCACUUUUGUCCGGAAAGAAAUCCUUGGCUCUAAUACAGUCGGGGGAUGACGGUACCGGAAGAAUAAGCACCGGCUAACUACGUGCCAGCAGCCGCGGUAAUACGUAGGGUGCAAGCGUUAAUCGGAAUUACUGGGCGUAAAGCGUGCGCAGGCGGUUUGCUAAGACCGAUGUGAAAUCCCCGGGCUCAACCUGGGAACUGCAUUGGUGACUGGCAGGCUAGAGUAUGGCAGAGGGGGGUAGAAUUCCACGUGUAGCAGUGAAAUGCGUAGAGAUGUGGAGGAAUACCGAUGGCGAAGGCAGCCCCCCUGGGCCAAUACUGACGCUCAUGCACGAAAGCGUGGGGAGCAAACAGGAUUAGAUACCCUGGUAGUCCACGCCCUAAAACGAUGUCAACUAGUUGUUGGGGAUUCAUUUCCUUAGUAACGUAGCUAACGCGUGAAGUUGACCGCCUGGGGAGUACGGUCGCAAGAUUAAAACUCAAAUGAA